Long non-coding RNA from Antechinus flavipes (yellow-footed antechinus), 1048 nucleotides. RefSeq lists it as uncharacterized. The transcript is spliced from 2 exons. The record is from RefSeq and is a predicted model, not a curated record. Lineage: Eukaryota; Metazoa; Chordata; Mammalia; Dasyuromorphia; Dasyuridae.
GGAAGCUGCCAGGGGGAGGAGGACGGACUUCCGGCGGUGCCAUUUUGCGCUACCCGGUGCUCGGCAUUGUAAAGGAGCAUGGUCUCUAGGAGAAGUUGGCGUUACUGAGUUCAAAUCCUGGCACUGGCACUGGCACUUAUUCCCUUUAUGACAUAACCUCAAUGUAUGAACCGAGAAUGCUAUUUUCAGGACCUACCUCACAGGGUUGUUGUGAGGAACAAAUGAAAUAAUGUUUGUAAAGCACUUUGCAUCCCUUACCGGAGUCUGUAGAUGUCAUUAUUGGGGGCCCUUCUUCAAUCAGAGCAUUUCCCAGUACCUUCACACAGCAUACUGGAUGGGUGGUUAACCCUCUGGAGACAGGCUUAGCUACUCCACCUCUGGGACAAUACACAUAACCCUCGCUAAGUUAGAUCUGCUGGGUCUCUUACUUCUUGGGUCUAGCCAGCUCUACACCCCUCUGAGGCAUUGGAUGUCCCUUUAGAGGAGGUCAUAGAACCCCCAAGUUGGAAUAGACCUAGGUGGAGUCUGCAGCAAAGGAAAAAUUCCCUCUGCAAUAGGGCACUUUGCCUUUGUGUCUUGGGUCCUUUUGGUAUCUGGGGAAGCCACUGGGACCCUUCACAGAAGACUACUUUUAAAAGAAUACAAUAAAAUACAUAGGUGUACAAAAGAAAACAAUUUUACUGGAAUACAGUUAUCAAAAUAUGCCAGGUAAAGAAUCCCCAGGCAAUUCUGAAAAGAGGACAUUUAGCUUCCUGAGCCAGCUUGUUCUGGGAAGUGUUCAAAGGGUUUUCCUUAUAUCCAAUGGAAAUCUGAUUUCCUGCUACCAUCACCCCUAUUUCUUAAUUAUUAAUCCAAUCCCUCAUCCACAUAAUCAUGCUACAAGUCCGGUUGUAAUGCCUUCUUUGCUUUUUUUGAGGAGUGUGAACUGCCACAUGAAUAAGAGGUGAUGACUGACUGAAACUUGAUGGACACUUCUCGCUCUACGGAAAUUUGCAUUGGGCAAAUUUGGCUAAAAAAUUCUAAAUUAAACCUGCAUUCCAAAAAAAAA